This is a long non-coding RNA of Rhinichthys klamathensis goyatoka, 650 nucleotides long. RefSeq lists it as uncharacterized. NCBI's taxonomy places the organism in Eukaryota, Metazoa, Chordata, Actinopteri, Cypriniformes, Leuciscidae. The transcript has 2 exons. The record is from RefSeq and is a predicted model, not a curated record.
CUCACUCACUCACUCACUCACUCUCACACACACACACACAGAUAUAUUAUAGCGACUGUAAGAUGAUCUGGAAGCCGAUGCUCUGCUGAAACUGCAUGAGUAAAAAACGUGAAUCUGAAGAUACUUCCUUUAUAUACGUAAUAAUAAUUCAUGAUCCUGAUAGAGUUUAUGAAUCAUAUCUGUAUAAUGUGGUGCAAUAUGACAAUAAACCCUAGUUCUCCAAUGUAGCAGAAUUAUGUUAAAGCACUGAACAGAGGGGGAGAGAGAUGGAGGGAGGGGGAGCGAGAGAGAGAGAAUGUAAAUUAAACGAGUUGAAAUUAAUCUUGUCGACUGUUUGAUUGUGUGUUUGUUCACAUUAUUAAUGCAUAAAUCGACAGGAACGAUGAACGAUGCUUUUCGUCAUAAAGACAAACAUGACAGGACGCAAAACCAAACUACAUGAAAUAUAAUUUAGCAUAACAUAAUAUUUCUUAAUGAGCAUUAUACUGACAAAACUGAAGAAUUAUUUAUAUGAUUACUGUUAUGAUUUGCUAUAUUUUUGCAUAUUUUCUGUAAGCAUGAAAGUCUGUUUUACACGAGAUUGUACUGAAACGAUCAGAUGUUUAUGAUGAUCAUGUGACUCAUGUGGAAUUAAACUGCUUUUGUUGAAA